Molecule: long non-coding RNA, 467 nt
Filed under: Salvia miltiorrhiza (redroot sage)
Lineage: Eukaryota; Viridiplantae; Streptophyta; Magnoliopsida; Lamiales; Lamiaceae
Description: long non-coding RNA (SMIL_LNC014317)
Source: RNAcentral
AAUGAGUCACGACACGGCUGGUCUGCGGCUGUGUACAUUAAUUUCUCAUAAGACUGUUUGGCCUUCAAAUUGCAUUUACACAUUUAUUGAAUCAUUAUUUCCCCUAUUGAAUCUCACCUCAUCAAUUGAUGAUCUCUUUCAAGCUGUCAUUAUAAGAUGGCUUGAUAUAUUUGUGUUACUGUUUGCUAAUUGAAGAGUUAAAUCUGCACACACAUGAAUGUGUUAUCUGAUAAAAUUUAGCUCAAGUGAACCCCUGUCUUGACUGUGUAUCCUCUCACGAGGCUCCACCACCGGUCCACCGCGACGACGUAGCUGCCGAAGCUUCUGUUGGAGCCAUAAUACAGUGUUUGUGAUGUUGAUACUGUUGACUGUUGAGUUUGUCUCUUCUAUAAAAUACUUUGCAGCCUUUACUUUUAACACUUGGACUCAUGUCUCCUUUGUGAUUAAGCAAGUGAAGAAUUCUUUUU